Long non-coding RNA from Mauremys reevesii (Reeves's turtle), 2638 nucleotides. RefSeq lists it as uncharacterized. The transcript is spliced from 3 exons. The record is from RefSeq and is a predicted model, not a curated record. Lineage: Eukaryota; Metazoa; Chordata; Testudines; Geoemydidae.
UAUGGACCUAAUUCUCCCCAUGCAUCGUACAGGGAGCCUGGGUGCCUAAUUGGAGCUGAGGUGUCUACUCAGCUGCAGGGCACCUAAACAUUAGGUGUUGUAACAUUGAGUCUAAGUCAGUGGUUCUCAAAGCCGGUCGGCCGCUUGUUCAGAGAAAGGUGGGGGGGACGGACCGCGGGGCUCCAUGUACUGCUCCUGAGCACCGGCUCCGCACUCCCAUUGGCCAGCAACCAUGUCAAUGGGAGCCGGGGGUAGGGGCGGUGCCUGUGGGCAAAAGCAGUGCGCGGAGCCUCCUGCCCACCCUCCCCCUGCCUAGGAGCCAGACCUGCUAGCUGCUUCCGGGGUGCAGCGCGGUGUCAGGACAAGUAGGGAGCCUGCCUUAGCCCUGCUGACAAGGAGUCGCCUGAGACACACUCGGCUGUUCAGCGCCAGCAGCAGUAUGAAGUCUCCUGCUAUCAGCCCAGAGAAAGUCUCAGGCAGCAGGUGAAAGUCCACUUUGAUGCUGCGCUUGAGGAGAAAAGGGGACUGGGGCCAGAGCACAGCAGGCACCUCCAGCCUUGCUUGUGCUUUUGGGUCCCAAGGCCAGCUCUGCAACCCAAUGGAUGAUUCAAGUCUAAACUUGCAUGCCUCAACUACUUUUACAGCCAGUCAGGAAGUCAACUGCCUACGGAGUCAUGUUGCCUAGGCAACAUGGUGCAACUUGGAGCAUUGCAUGCCCUGCCAGCAAAACAUGAAGACACCUGACAUGAACAGAUUGCUGACAUGCAGGACUGUCGUAUUCUACAAGAAUAUGAAAGUCCUGCAACUUUUGUUGUGGACUCUGGGGCAUGCAAUGCAUGUAUUGCAUGCCUAGACAGCAUGCCACACUAGGACCCAGGUGCUGCCUCCCCACCCUACCAUGUGGGCUUGAGGAAGGAGUGAGCCAGGGACUCCAGCUCUCAUAGGAGCAGCUGCAGAAGCAGAAAAAGCAGGGACCUUGUGACAUUCAGAGAACUUUCUACAGUUUCAACUGGACUUCUCUGCCCUGUGCUGAUUGGCGGCUUGCUCCAACCCUCUCCCUCCCUCUCAGUCUCUUCACCUCAGUUUAGGGUGACUGUGUGUCCUGUUUUUUUAAGCCCUGUCCUGGCUGUCCCAACCUUUUUGGGAAAAAUGUGCAUUUGUCCUGUUUGCUGUUGCCAGCUUGAUCAGUUGGCAAGAACAAAUGGGACAAAUGCUCACUUUUGUCAAAAAAGUGGGGUGCAGAGGAAAGUGUAGGGGGCGAGCAGCAAUGCCAGACCCUUGCAAGGGGGGAAGCAGGGCUUGUGCAGGUGGGCAGGCAGGGUUUGAGCAACCAGCGACCCAAACCUUGCAUGGAGGUGGGAGGGUUUAGGCGAGCAGCUCAGGCCAGCCCAGUGUGCGGGAAGGCGAGGGCUCAGGCCAGCCCUGCACAGUGUCCUGUUUUCCUUUUGGGAAAUAUGGUCAUCCUAAUUUAGCUUCACUCCACACCUGCCCCUCUUACUGUCUUCUGCCCUGCCCUGUCCCCAUCAUAUCCUUCCCUUCUCAUUUAGUUGAUCCCCUCCUAAGUAACUCCACCCCCCAAAAAAUAUUGAAAACAUGACCUUCGGUGUCAUUACACUGUUUGCUCUGAUGGUGUGUUCUACCAAUUCACCUAGCCAGGAUUUCUUGUCUAUUUAGAUUGUAAGAUCUUGUGGCAGGACAGUUGACUACUCAGUUUUUCAGAGCCUUUCACAAUGGGUCCCUAUUCUUGGUUGGCCUUUAGUCACUAUCUUAAUAAACAUGAAUACUACUAGUACUAAUACUUUUCAGAUACACAUGGAUCUUUGACGGUGAGUUUGGGGUAUCUAUUUACAAGCUACUUUUCCUUUAACAUUCGAUUUCAGUUUAUUUUAUUUAAUAAAAGUCUUUAAAAACAUAUUUUACAUAUUUCAGAUACUCCACAUUUCUGUUAAGUUUCAAAUGACUGCAGAAAGAGGAGAGAAAAGUGCUAUUACCUUCAAUGUAUUUAAUUGAAUUUAUAAAAUAAUAAUAGCAAUGCUCAAAAUUUCUAGUGCUCUUGUGACAUUCAAAUAAUUUAAGAAUUUGCACAGUAUCAAAUUUAUUUCAAAAUAUCACAUACCAGACUGACAUUCAUAAUUCACUAAAUGCCUGUUACCAAACUCCUUCAUAAGCCAUAUGUCUCUCAGCCUACUUCUUCCUGAAAUGCCUGGGAAAAAAAUAUUGGCUUUGCUGUAUGAGUGAAAUGUUGACAAAUCUGGGCUUAUUGUACUCCAUUUGCUCUUAGAUGGUGGCCUUCUUUGUUGCUCUGGAGCUGUUUAAUCCUAGAAAAUAUGAAAGAAGGGCAAAAGGCUAGAUGUCUGGAACUGCUAUGGGCAGAAUUCCAGGGUGUUCAUGAAGGCAGUGUCUUACAGCAAUUGAAAUAUCAGACAAUUAACACUGAAAGCCUUUAUAAUUAGGGUGAGUCAUGUAAAAGGAAAUAUCAGGUAGAUAUAUCUACACAAUUACUAUAUUUACCCUUUGGUUGGAGCUGUGAUUUAAGACUUUCUACGCAUAAAUAUUCUCUCAGUGCUGUCUCAUUUUCAAUCAGGAUUGUAAAUUGUCCUUGUAGUUAAUUCUCAGAGACAAACAUGAAAAACUAAUU